Gopherus flavomarginatus (Mexican gopher tortoise) is the source of this 429-nucleotide non-coding RNA. The record is from the annotation of a RefSeq genome assembly. NCBI's taxonomy places the organism in Eukaryota, Metazoa, Chordata, Testudines, Testudinidae.
GCAGCCCCUGGGUCUGUGCAGUGACCAGCCAGUCCCUGAGAACUUUCCCCUCCAGCACUCGGGAAAAUGGGAAUUUUGCUCCUUGUGAUUUUCGCUGUAGCCGCUUUGGAAGGUGUCCGGUGCCAGGUGCAGCUGGUGGAGUCCGGAGGGGACGUGAAAAAGCCCGGAGACUCUCUCCGCCUCUCCUGCAAAGCCUCCGGGUUCACCUUCAGCAGCGCCUACAUGCACUGGGUCCGGCAGGCCCCCGGGAAGGGGCUGGAGUGGGUGGCUGAGAUUAGACCCGAUGCAUCCAAGCAGUGGUACUCCCCGGCUGUUGAAGGCCGAUUCACCAUCUCCAGGGACAACUCCAACAACCUGCUGUAUCUGCAACUGACCGGCCUGAAGCCCGAGGACACCGCCCGGUAUCGCUGUGCGAGGGAAGCACAGUGA